AGCCCCGUAGUGUAGCGGCCAAUCAUUCAGCCCUCUGAAGGCUGAGACCCCAGUUCGAAUAUUGAUGCUCGAAGAGCGAAAUACCUUCGAACAUCAGUGAGAAAGUCUGGGCGGGGCUA
Molecule: transfer RNA, 119 nt
Filed under: Candidatus Woesearchaeota archaeon
Lineage: Archaea; Nanobdellati; Candidatus Woesearchaeota
Description: tRNA-Gln
Source: RNAcentral